RNAcentral lists this ribosomal RNA (284 nucleotides) under uncultured Lachnospiraceae bacterium. Its description in RNAcentral is "partial 16S ribosomal RNA". The stretch from base 46 to 284 matches the Rfam family "Bacterial small subunit ribosomal RNA", at positions 100 to 339 of the family's 1533-position model. The record is from RNAcentral. Lineage: Bacteria; Bacillati; Bacillota; Clostridia; Lachnospirales; Lachnospiraceae.
UUUAUUUGAUUUCCUUCGGGACUGAUUAUUUUGUGACUGAGUGGCGGACGGGUGAGUAACGCGUGGGUAACCUGCCUUGUACAGGGGGAUAACAGUUGGAAACGGCUGCUAAUACCGCAUAAGCGCACGGCAUCGCAUGAUGCAGUGUGAAAAACUCCGGUGGUACAAGAUGGACCCGCGUCUGAUUAGCUGGUUGGUGAGGUAACGGCCCACCUAGUCUUCGAUGGAUAGGGGUUCUGAGAGGAAGGUCCCCCACAUUGGAACUGAGACACGGUCCAAACUCC